This 255-nucleotide ribosomal RNA is filed under the name uncultured bacterium. RNAcentral describes it as "partial 16S ribosomal RNA". It matches the Rfam family "Bacterial small subunit ribosomal RNA", at positions 524 to 776 of the family's 1533-position model. The record is from RNAcentral.
UACGGGGGGGGGCAAGCGUUGUUCGGAAUUACUGGGCGUAAAGGGCGCGUAGGCGGUCAGCACAAGUCAGUUGUGAAAUCUCCGGGCUUAACUCGGAAAGGUCAACUGAUACUGUGCGACUAGAGUGCGGAAGGGGCAACUGGAAUUCUCGGUGUAGCGGUGAAAUGCGUAGAUAUCGAGAGGAACACCUGCGGCGAAGGCGGGUUGCUGGGCCGACACUGACGCUGAUGCGCGAAAGCCAGGGGAGCGAACGGG